GGGCCGGCGCGCUCCCUCACCCGCCCCAACAACGUCAGCAGCGGCUCGAUACCUCCUGGGCUGACUGGGCGAGCUCCGCCUCCUCCUGCCGCCGCUGGGCGGGCUCUUCGGGCCAGGGCCUCCCACUGCAGCGACGGAGUCCCAACAGGGUGUCAGUCGUGAUAGAUGAUGGUUUUGUGAUACGAACACCUGUCCAUUGGGAGCCGUACAGGGACCAACUCAUUUCACACAAGCCACUGAAGAGCCAUCAGAUGGUAAUGACUUUCAGUCCCUAUUGACCUGGGCCAAUUUGAAUCGGUGAUCUAGGGGUGAAAGGCUCUAUAUUCCAUUACCAGUUUUCUGAGCCAUCAAGUCUACUCCAUUCCACCCCCACUACUACUGUACUGAUAUACUUUAUAGCAUUUUUCUAAAUGCUAUCAUCCAUACAGAUGUCUGCCGUCAUUUGUUGAUACAGCCAAUCAAUACUACAUUAAAUGUUACUUUUCAGUUUA
Molecule: long non-coding RNA, 491 nt
Organism: Mauremys reevesii (Reeves's turtle)
Lineage: Eukaryota; Metazoa; Chordata; Testudines; Geoemydidae
Exons: 2
Source: RefSeq, a predicted model, not a curated record